Molecule: ribosomal RNA, 456 nt
Filed under: Triticum aestivum (bread wheat)
Lineage: Eukaryota; Viridiplantae; Streptophyta; Magnoliopsida; Poales; Poaceae
Description: partial small subunit ribosomal RNA
Source: RNAcentral
AUGGAACCGCCACCUUCACAGCAGAACAUUACGCGUGAGUGGUCGAUGGACUGCCAAUGCUACUCCAAAGGGGCUGACCUUCACCUCCCCGUGUCCCUGAACAAGAUGGACCAACGAGUUGUGACCAUGUGCUCUGCGAGAAGUGCAUCAAGGUGGCCAUCAAAUUGUCGCUGCUACUACUGCUCGACCUGUGCUGUGAGCGGGGCUGACGCCGCAUGCUGCCUGCCAUUGGAGCUGGCCAGGGAGCUUCUGCUUGCCGUGCGUGCCUCCUUCCUUCGGCAGAAGCACCAGGCUGUUAUCGCGAUGAGGAUGCUGUGGGAAAAUAGGGACAUGUUUGAUCUGGUUAUCAGUGAUGUCCACAUGCCAGACAUGGAUGGCUUUAAGCUUCUUGAGCUUGUGGGGCUUGAAAUGCACCUCCUUGUCAUCAGUCGCCGCUGGAGCCAGACAAGGUCAUGA